This is a long non-coding RNA of Mustela erminea (ermine), 245 nucleotides long. RefSeq lists it as uncharacterized. The record is from RefSeq and is a predicted model, not a curated record. The transcript has 3 exons. NCBI's taxonomy places the organism in Eukaryota, Metazoa, Chordata, Mammalia, Carnivora, Mustelidae.
AGAAGAGAAAGCAGAAAAAAUCUUCCGAAACAACCACAAAACAGGUAAUAAAAAGUCAAUAGAUACAUAUCUAUUAUAAUUACUUUGAAUUAAAUGGAUUUAACACUCCAUACAAAAGAAAGUGGGUGACAGAAUGGAUUAAAACAAAAACAAAAAAUAAGACCCAUCUAUAUGCUGCCUAUAAGAGAAUCAGUUUAGACCUAAAAUCACCUGCAGAUUAAAAGUAAGAGGAUGAAGAAACAUCU